Molecule: long non-coding RNA, 343 nt
Filed under: Salvia miltiorrhiza (redroot sage)
Lineage: Eukaryota; Viridiplantae; Streptophyta; Magnoliopsida; Lamiales; Lamiaceae
Description: long non-coding RNA (SMIL_LNC002505)
Source: RNAcentral
UUGGAUAAUAUAUUAAAUAAAAAAUAUUAGUGAAAAUUAUACACUUAGAGUUACAAGAUGAAAUAGAUAUAUUGGAUGAUGAUUCACUUCGAAAGGUGUCCUAGGGGCUAGGAGGUAAAGUAUAAUCCUAUUCAAAAAUGUCUCCUGCAUGCAAUUCUUAUAGGGGACACGUGGCAUCAUUUUAUUGCCACACGAAAGCCUCUUCCAAAACAACCACUUUUUUUAUAAAAUAGUGGUUUCACUCAACCGGACACUACAAUAAAGCAAACCGGAGCAGAGAUAUCAAAUAUUGGACCGAGUGGAUUUUCUUUGCGGGACACGUGUUCGCAUCUGGAUGCGAUGC